This 1039-nucleotide long non-coding RNA is filed under the name Mus musculus (house mouse). RNAcentral describes it as "small nucleolar RNA host gene 17". Lineage: Eukaryota; Metazoa; Chordata; Mammalia; Rodentia; Muridae. The record is from RNAcentral.
GUUCUUCCGCCAGCGCCCAUCGUGAAGACCACAGUUUCCUGUCGCGUGGAUGUGUUUCCUCUCUGGCCAUUGCCAUCCGCCCAAAUCUACAGACAUCCCGCAUGUUCCCGGGCUCGUCUCCCCAAUACAGGGCACCAAGGCUGUAGACUGCGCAGCCCUCCUGGAGACAGAUGGAAGCUCCUUGGGUCGACAGAUUACAGCUUCUGGAACCCCCUACUCCCUUCAACUCCGAGAUGGACACCCACUGUCCAGGGAGAGGAUGCCUGGAAAUAACAGCUGGGAUCUACAGUGGCCAAAGAGUUGUCUCCGUCUUGCUACAUCGACAAACUGGUGCUCCUGAGUGAGGAUUGUGCCCUGGGAUGGGGGAUUCAGUUUCUUCAUUUAUAGUUGGAAGUGGGUGAAGCCACUUCGGAAGCGUUUUCCUCUCCACUCUGACAACAGGCAAGAGUGAGGGUCCAACAAUACAGAGGAAGUAACGUGUCGCUGCUACUCUUCCAUGCCCAGUGCCAGGAGCGACGGUACACUCCAGAGUGCUGUGCCCUGAUGGGCCUUUGAGUGGCCAGUGCAGUGGAUCAUCAGCCCUGUCUCCCAAGAGCUCCAGUCCCUUCUCCGGAGAGGAAGUGGGUCCACUGGCAGCUCAGGAGGCCAUAGCAGAAACUUGGGGUGUUUGCAUGUGCUAGGUCAGCACAGAUUUCCAAAGGAUCUCUAGGAUUGUCACGUGUGCUCAACAGUCCUCCUCGGCUUUCCAGAAGAGGCUGGAACAGGGCCCUUGAAGAUGUUUGUGGACAUCAGAGGGCCAAAGACGACACAAAGUGAAACUGGAGACACCGCCCCCCCUUGGCAUCAUGAAACUGCCGAUGUUACUGGCUCAUGCAUGGGAGACACCAGCAUACAAAGUCUUGACACCAACACCUCAGAGGGCUGUGUUCUGUCCCCGUGACCAUCAUCUAGUGCCUGGAAAGACUAGUGACAAGAACUUGUUGCCAACUUCCUAUUACCUCCCUAACAGUUGUGCAAUAAACCCCAUAGGUUAAUUCAG